Molecule: ribosomal RNA, 619 nt
Filed under: bacterium endosymbiont of Onthophagus Taurus
Lineage: Bacteria
Description: bacterial SSU rRNA
Rfam family: Bacterial small subunit ribosomal RNA
Source: RNAcentral
GGGAAACUGCCUGAUGGAGGGGGAUAACUACUGGAAACGGUAGCUAAUACCGCAUAACGUCGCAAGACCAAAGAGGGGGACCUUCGGGCCUCUUGCCAUCGGAUGUGCCCAGAUGGGAUUAGCUAGUAGGUGGGGUAACGGCUCACCUAGGCGACGAUCCCUAGCUGGUCUGAGAGGAUGACCAGCCACACUGGAACUGAGACACGGUCCAGACUCCUACGGGAGGCAGCAGUGGGGAAUAUUGCACAAUGGGCGCAAGCCUGAUGCAGCCAUGCCGCGUGUAUGAAGAAGGCCUUCGGGUUGUAAAGUACUUUCAGCGGGGAGGAAGGGAGUAAAGUUAAUACCUUUGCUCAUUGACGUUACCCGCAGAAGAAGCACCGGCUAACUCCGUGCCAGCAGCCGCGGUAAUACGGAGGGUGCAAGCGUUAAUCGGAAUUACUGGGCGUAAAGCGCACGCAGGCGGUUUGUUAAGUCAGAUGUGAAAUCCCCGGGCUCAACCUGGGAACUGCAUCUGAUACUGGCAAGCUUGAGUCUCGUAGAGGGGGGUAGAAUUCCAGGUGUAGCGGUGAAAUGCGUAGAGAUCUGGAGGAAUACCGGUGGCGAAGGCGGCCCCCUGGAC